This is a non-coding RNA of Vicia faba (fava bean), 250 nucleotides long. The record is from the annotation of a GenBank genome assembly. NCBI's taxonomy places the organism in Eukaryota, Viridiplantae, Streptophyta, Magnoliopsida, Fabales, Fabaceae.
AUGGCCCUUGGCUCCUUAAUAUGUCAACUGCCCUGCUGCAAACUGGUUCAAGCCAAAUUACUCCACCCCAAUUCUCGAAAGUUGCCCUGCAUCCAAAACCAAUACAAGACAUUUCAAAACAUUACUUCAACUAAACCACAAAUCUUCCCUGCGUUCACUAAUCUUAACAAUGCCCUGACAAUUUCUCUACCAACCAAAACAGUUCCAAAACCCUUGCCAAAACUUGCACCAAACUUGAAUAAAAAGAAAC